RNAcentral lists this ribosomal RNA (429 nucleotides) under Acidobacteriota bacterium. RNAcentral's name for it is "Acidobacteria bacterium partial 16S ribosomal RNA". It matches the Rfam family "Bacterial small subunit ribosomal RNA", at positions 355 to 776 of the family's 1533-position model. Lineage: Bacteria; Pseudomonadati; Acidobacteriota. The record is from RNAcentral.
UGGGGAAUUUUGGACAAUGGGGGAAACCCUGAUCCAGCCAUCCCGCGUGUGCGAUGAAGGCCUUCGGGUUGUAAAGCACUUUUGGCAGGAAAGAAACGUCAUGGGUUAAUACCCCGUGAAACUGACGGUACCUGCAGAAUAAGCACCGGCUAACUACGUGCCAGCAGCCGCGGUAAUACGUAGGGUGCAAGCGUUAAUCGGAAUUACUGGGCGUAAAGCGUGCGCAGGCGGUUCGGAAAGAAAGAUGUGAAAUCCCAGAGCUCAAAUUUGGAACUGCAUAUUUAACUACCGGGCUAGAGUGUGUCAGAGGGACGUGGAAUUCCGCGUGUAGCAGUGAAAUGCGUAGAUAUGAGGAGGAACACCGAUGGCGAAGGCAGACUCCUGGGAUAACACUGACGCUCAUGCACGAAAGCGUGGGGAGCAAACAGG